This 253-nucleotide ribosomal RNA is filed under the name uncultured bacterium. RNAcentral describes it as "partial 16S ribosomal RNA". It matches the Rfam family "Bacterial small subunit ribosomal RNA", at positions 524 to 776 of the family's 1533-position model. The record is from RNAcentral.
UACGUAGGGGGCUAGCGUUGUCCGGAAUCAUUGGGCGUAAAGCGCGUGUAGGCGGUCCGAUAAGUUCGCUGUGAAAGUCGGGGGCUCAACCCUCGGAUGCCGGUGAAUACUGUCGGGCUUGAGUACGGAAGAGGCGAGUGGAAUUCCUGGUGUAGCGGUGAAAUGCGCAGAUAUCAGGAGGAACACCAAUUGCGAAGGCAGCUCGCUGGGACGUUACUGACGCUGAGACGCGAAAGCGUGGGGAGCAAACAGG